CCUUCGGGUGGCAGCAGUGGGGAAUAUUGGGCAAUGGGCGCAAGCCUGACCCAGCAACGCCGCGUGAAGGAAGAAGGCUUUCGGGUUGUAAACUUCUUUUGUCAGGGACGAAGCAAGUCACGGUACCUGACGAAUAAGCCACGGCUAACUACGUGCCAGCAGCCGCGGUACUACGUAGGGGGCAAGCGUUAUCCGGAUUUACUGGGUGUACAGGGCGGGUAGACGGGACGGCAAGUCAGAUGUGAAAACCACGGGCUCAACCUGUGGCCUGCAUUUGAAACUGGAGUUCUUGAGUACUGGAGAGGCAGACGGAAUUCCUAGUGUAGCGGUGAAAUGCGUAGAUAUUAGGAGGAACACCAGUGGCGAAGGCGGUUUGCUGGACAGCAACUGACGCUGAGGCGCGAAAGCGUGGGGAGCAAACAGGAUUAGAUACCCUUGUAGUC
Molecule: ribosomal RNA, 443 nt
Filed under: uncultured bacterium
Lineage: Bacteria
Description: partial 16S ribosomal RNA
Rfam family: Bacterial small subunit ribosomal RNA
Source: RNAcentral